Molecule: long non-coding RNA, 297 nt
Organism: Uranotaenia lowii
Lineage: Eukaryota; Metazoa; Arthropoda; Insecta; Diptera; Culicidae
Exons: 3
Source: RefSeq, a predicted model, not a curated record
GGUAUCACAUCAAGUAGUCAAUGUUUGUUUCAAUUGACAUUCAGAAUUGUUUACGUAUCUGAAAAUUUGAAAUGGAUUGUGAGGCUCAGGAGGAUUUGUUUUGCUGGCAUUUUGGCCCUUGUUUAUUAGCGAUAGAAAAAAAAGUUCCGGAAAUUGAAAACAGCCGGUUUUGAAGAACUUGAUAAUCACCGUUGGCAGAUGCGAUGUUUCAUGACCGAUGGCCAUCCAAGGGACAGAUCCAAUACAUAUGGAACCUAGAAAAUCAGUGUUUCGUUUAACGUUUUUAAGGCUGGCUGA